AGCAGUAGGGAAUCUUCGGCAAUGGACGAAAGUCUGACCGAGCAACGCCGCGUGAGUGAAGAAGGUUUUCGGAUCGUAAAACUCUGUUGGUAGAGAAGAACGUUGGUGAGAGUGGAAAGCUCAUCAAGUGACGGUAACUACCCAGAAAGGGACGGCUAACUACGUGUCAG
This 170-nucleotide ribosomal RNA is filed under the name uncultured bacterium. RNAcentral's name for it is "partial 16S ribosomal RNA". It matches the Rfam family "Bacterial small subunit ribosomal RNA", at positions 350 to 511 of the family's 1533-position model. The record is from RNAcentral.